AGCAGUAGGGAAUCUUCGGCAAUGGACGAAAGUCUGACCGAGCAACGCCGCGUGAGUGAAGAAGGUUUUCGGAUCGUAAAACUCUGUUGUUAGAGAAGAACAAGGAUGAGAGUAAAAUGUUCAUCCCCUGACGGUAUCUAACCAGAAAGCGACGGCUAACUACGUGCCAGCAGCCGCGGUAAUACGUAGGUGGCAAGCGUUGUCCGGAUUUAUUGGGCGUAAAGCGAGCGCAGGCGGUUUCUUAAGUCUGAUGUGAAAGGCCCCGGCUCAACCGGGGAGGGUCANUGGAAACUGGGAGACUUGAGUGCAGAAGAGGAGAGUGGAAUUCCAUGUGUAGCGGUG
Molecule: ribosomal RNA, 342 nt
Filed under: uncultured Enterococcus sp.
Lineage: Bacteria; Bacillati; Bacillota; Bacilli; Lactobacillales; Enterococcaceae
Description: bacterial SSU rRNA
Rfam family: Bacterial small subunit ribosomal RNA
Source: RNAcentral